GAGGGUGGCGUUGCUGUGACCGGCUGUGGGUUUGUGGCAGAGAAUUCCUGUGGGAAUCUCCUCACAGAGGAGCCUCACAGCCAGCACCUGCACACAAACACCCAGUCCACGGCUUGGCUAAAACAUUUGACCCUUUAUUCCUAAACACGACAGAAAUUUAAGAGUGAGGGGAGAGCAAGAGAGCCGAAUACUGGCGGCUGCCAGGAGCAAGGCCCCACAGGCCCCCACCUCCCCAUCCUGUGCUUGAUGAUGGUGAUGAUGAGAGGCCCAGUGCAAUUAGAAGGAACAUCUUUGCUUUGUGGGAUCUGACACUGCUUUUAAAGGAUGAUUUUUACAGCAGAAUCUCUCAAAAGAUUUUGGAGUCCUUGUCUCUUUCAGUGCAAUAAAUUAAGCUGUAUUUUGCAUCACUGGGACAUUUCUUCUGGAAUGUGAAUUCUUUUACCUUUUGGAUUGUUGCUUUCUCUAUCCAGCGAUUUUGCAGCUUUGCAAAUGUUGUUGAAGGUCCUCCUGCACUCCUGUGCAGAAUGACUCCCCUGCAAACAGCUGCAUUACUGAAUGACUCAAUCUCUGAAAACGGUGGGGUUUUUUGUAAAUGUUUCUUAAAUUACCUAGCAAAACACAAAGAUGAAUAAGAGGUAAGUGAGGCAUGUACCCUUUAUUCCUGCAGUGAA
Molecule: long non-coding RNA, 671 nt
Organism: Serinus canaria (Common canary)
Lineage: Eukaryota; Metazoa; Chordata; Aves; Passeriformes; Fringillidae
Exons: 3
Source: RefSeq, a predicted model, not a curated record